AGUGAACGCUGGCGGUAGGCCUAACACAUGCAAGUCGAACGGCAGCACAGUAAGAGCUUGCUCUUACGGGUGGCGAGUGGCGGACGGGUGAGGAAUACAUCGGAAUCUACUUUUUCGUGGGGGAUAACGUAGGGAAACUUACGCUAAUACCGCAUACGACCUACGGGUGAAAGCAGGGGAUCUUCGGACCUUGCGCGAGUGAAUGAGCCGAUGUCGGAUUAGCUAGUUGGCGGGGUAAAGGCCCACCAAGGCGACGAUCCGUAGCUGGUCUGAGAGGAUGAUCAGCCACACUGGAACUGAGACACGGUCCAGACUCCUACGGGAGGCAGCAGUGGGGAAUAUUGGACAAUGGGCGCAAGCCUGAUCCAGCCAUGCCGCGUGGGUGAAGAAGGCCUUCGGGUUGUAAAGCCCUUUUGUUGGGAAAGAAAAGCAGCAGGUUAAUACCCCGCUGUUCUGACGGUACCCAAAGAAUAAGCACCGGCUAACUUCGUG
RNAcentral lists this ribosomal RNA (492 nucleotides) under uncultured bacterium. RNAcentral describes it as "partial 16S ribosomal RNA". It matches the Rfam family "Bacterial small subunit ribosomal RNA", at positions 29 to 507 of the family's 1533-position model. The record is from RNAcentral.